RNAcentral lists this non-coding RNA (31 nucleotides) under Homo sapiens (human). The record is from RNAcentral. Lineage: Eukaryota; Metazoa; Chordata; Mammalia; Primates; Hominidae.
UGUCAGGGAAACCAGCCCAAAGGUGUGGAGA